RNAcentral lists this ribosomal RNA (495 nucleotides) under uncultured bacterium. Its description in RNAcentral is "partial 16S ribosomal RNA". It matches the Rfam family "Bacterial small subunit ribosomal RNA", at positions 28 to 507 of the family's 1533-position model. The record is from RNAcentral.
GACGAACGCUGGCGGCGUGCCUAAUACAUGCAAGUAGAACGCUGAAGGAGGAGCUUGCUCUUCUGGAUGAGUUGCGAACGGGUGAGUAACGCGUAGGUAACCUGCCUGGUAGCGUGGGAUAACUAUUGGAAACGAUAGCUAAUACCGCAUAAGAGUAGAUGUUUCAUGACAUUUACUUCAAAGGUUCAAUUGCAUCACUACCAGAUGGACCUGCGUUGUAUUAGCUAGUUGGUGGGGUAACGGCUUACCAAGGCGACGAUACAUAGCCGACCUGAGAGGGUGAUCGGCCACACUGGGACUGAGACACGGCCCAGAAUCCUACGGGAGGCAGCAGUAGGGAAUCUUCGGCAAUGGACGGAAGUCUGACCGAGCAACGCCGGGUGAGUGAAGAAGGUUUUCGGAUCGUAAAGCUCUGUUGUAAGAGAAGAACGAGUGUGAGAGUGGAAAGUUCACACUGUGACGGUAUCUUACCAGAAAGGGACGGCUAACUACGUG